UUCAACAACGGAUCUCUUGGUUCUCGCAUCGAUGAAGAACGCAGCGAAAUGCGAUAAGUAGUGUGAAUUGCAGAAUUCAGUGAAUCAUCGAAUCUUUGAACGCACAUUGCGCCCUCUGGUAUUCCGGAGGGCAUGCCUGUCCGAGCGUCGUCAAACC
RNAcentral lists this ribosomal RNA (157 nucleotides) under Sarcoscypha occidentalis. Its description in RNAcentral is "5.8S ribosomal RNA". It matches the Rfam family "5.8S ribosomal RNA". From Rfam's summary of the family: 5.8S ribosomal RNA (5.8S rRNA) is a component of the large subunit of the eukaryotic ribosome. It is transcribed by RNA polymerase I as part of the 45S precursor that also contains 18S and 28S rRNA. The record is from RNAcentral. Lineage: Eukaryota; Fungi; Ascomycota; Pezizomycetes; Pezizales; Sarcoscyphaceae.